Molecule: ribosomal RNA, 369 nt
Filed under: Triticum aestivum (bread wheat)
Lineage: Eukaryota; Viridiplantae; Streptophyta; Magnoliopsida; Poales; Poaceae
Description: partial small subunit ribosomal RNA
Source: RNAcentral
AUGAGGUUUACCUUUGUUGUUGCAGGUUGGCCGGGUUGUGCACAUGACACCAGGAUCUUGAAUCAUGCAUUAUCACAUUUCUCUUUAUUUCCUGUACCUCCCAAAGGGAAAUAUUAUCUUGUGGACUCUGGAUAUCCAAAUCGAACGGGAUACCUUGCUCCUUUCAAGGGGAGUACAUACCAUCUAUCGGAAUUCCAUCUUCGUCGUGACCGUCCACCUCAAGGGAAGUAUGAGGUGUUCAACUUUCUACAUUCAUCCCUUCAAAAUGUUGUUGAACGUACUUUUGGGGUGCUCAAGCAGAAGUGGCGCAUAUUGAAAGGAGUCCCAAGUUUCUCACCUCGUACACAGAAGCAUAUCAUCAUUGUUUGC